RNAcentral lists this ribosomal RNA (423 nucleotides) under uncultured Glomeraceae. RNAcentral's name for it is "SSU rRNA". It matches the Rfam family "Eukaryotic small subunit ribosomal RNA", at positions 459 to 887 of the family's 1831-position model. Lineage: Eukaryota; Fungi; Glomeromycota; Glomeromycetes; Glomerales; Glomeraceae. The record is from RNAcentral.
GGGAGGUAGUGACAAUAAAUAACAAUACGGGGUUCUUUUGGAUCUCGUAAUUGGAAUGAGUACAAUUUAAAUCUCUUAACGAGAACCAAUUGGAGGGCAAGUCUGGUGCCAGCAGCCGCGGUAAUUCCAGCUCCAAUAGCGUAUAUUAAAGUUGUUGCAGUUAAAAAGCUCGUAGUUGAAUUUCGGGAUUAGUAGGUUGGUCGUGCCUCUGGUAUGUACUGGCUUUACUGGUUCCUCCUUCUUGAAGAACUGUAAUGUCAUUAAUUUGGUGUUGCAGGGAAACAGGACUGUUACUUUGAAAAAUUAGAGUGUUUAAAGCAGGCUAACGCUUGAAUACAUUAGCAUGGAAUAAUGAAAUAGGACGUUUGAUCCUAUUUUGUUGGUUUCUAGGAUUGACGUAAUGAUUAAUAGGGAUAGUUGGGA